GGCGGACGGGUGAGUAAUGCUUGGGAACAUGCCUUGAGGUGGGGGACAACUUGGAAACGACUGCUAAUACCGCAUAAUGUCUACGGACCAAAGGGGGCUUCGGCUCUCGCCUUUAGAUUGGCCCAAGUGGGAUUAGCUAGUUGGUGAGGUAAUGGCUCACCAAGGCGACGAUCCCUAGCUGGUUUGAGAGGAUGAUCAGCCACACUGGGACUGAGACACGGCCCAGACCCCUACGGGAGGCAGCAGUGGGGAAUAUUGCACAAUGGGCGCAAGCCUGAUGCAGCCAUGCCGCGUGUGUGAAGAAGGCCUUCGGGUUGUAAAGCACUUUCAGUCAGGAGGAAAGGUUAGUAGUUAAUACCUGCUAGCUGUGACGUUACUGACAGAAGAAGCACCGGCUAACUCCGUGCCAGCAGCCGCGGUAAUACGGAGGGUGCGAGCGUUAAUCGGAAUUACUGGGCGUAAAGCGUAC
RNAcentral lists this ribosomal RNA (469 nucleotides) under uncultured Pseudoalteromonas sp. RNAcentral's name for it is "bacterial SSU rRNA". It matches the Rfam family "Bacterial small subunit ribosomal RNA", at positions 97 to 570 of the family's 1533-position model. Lineage: Bacteria; Pseudomonadati; Pseudomonadota; Gammaproteobacteria; Alteromonadales; Pseudoalteromonadaceae. The record is from RNAcentral.